This 127-nucleotide ribosomal RNA is filed under the name Propithecus coquereli (Coquerel's sifaka). The record is from RNAcentral. Lineage: Eukaryota; Metazoa; Chordata; Mammalia; Primates; Indriidae.
GUCUGCGGCCAUACCACCCUGAACGCGCCCGAUCUCGUCUGAUCUCGGUAGCUAAGCAGGGUUGGGCCUAGUUAGUACUUGGGUGGGAGAAAUGAGGCGCUAAAUUGCAAGUUUAGGGUGGCGGAAU